UGAGGAAUAUUGGUCAAUGGUCGCAAGACUGAACCAGCCAUGCCGCGUGCAGGAUGAAGCAUCUAUGGUGUGUAAACUGCUUUUGUACGGGAAGAAACACUCCUACGUGUAGGGGCUUGACGGUACCGUAAGAAUAAGGAUCGGCUAACUCCGUGCCAGCAGCCGCGGUAAUACGGAGGAUCCAAGCGUUAUCCGGAAUCAUUGGGUUUAAAGGGUCCGUAGGCGGCUUUAUAAGUCAGUGGUGAAAUCCGGCAGCUUAACUGUCGAAUUGCCAUUGAUACUGUAGGGCUUGAAUUGUUGUGAAGUAACUAGAAUAUGUAGUGUAGCGGUGAAAUGCUUAGAUAUUACAUGGAAUACCAAUUGCGAAGGCAGGUUACUAACAAUACAUUGACGCUGAUGGACGAAAGCGUGGGUAGCGAACAGGAUUAGAUACCCUGGUAGUCCACGCUGUAAACGAUGGAUACUAGCUGUUUGGUUGUAAGACUGAGUGGCUAAGCGAAAGUGAUAAGUAUCCCACCUAGGGAGUACGAACGCAAGUUUG
RNAcentral lists this ribosomal RNA (541 nucleotides) under uncultured bacterium. RNAcentral describes it as "bacterial SSU rRNA". It matches the Rfam family "Bacterial small subunit ribosomal RNA", at positions 355 to 896 of the family's 1533-position model. The record is from RNAcentral.